GCUGCAUGGCUGUCGUCAGCUCGUGUCGUGAGAUGUUCGGUUAAGUCCGCUAACGAGCGCAACCCUCGCUGUGUGUUACAAGUGUCACACGGAACCUGCCGGUCAUAAACCGGAGGAAGGUGGGGAUGACGUCAAGUCAGCAUGGCCUUUAUAUCCUGGGCUACACACACGCUACAAUGGGAAGGGACAAUAGGUUGCGAAGCCGCGAGGUGGAGCCAAUCCAGCAAAACUUCCCUCAGUUCAGAUUGCAGGCUGCAACUCGCCUGCAUGAAGUUGGAGUUGCUAGUAAACGCAGGUCAGCCAUACUGCGUUGAAUACGUUCCCGGGUCUU
RNAcentral lists this ribosomal RNA (331 nucleotides) under uncultured Anaerolineaceae bacterium. RNAcentral describes it as "bacterial SSU rRNA". It matches the Rfam family "Bacterial small subunit ribosomal RNA", at positions 1040 to 1382 of the family's 1533-position model. The record is from RNAcentral. Lineage: Bacteria; Bacillati; Chloroflexota; Anaerolineae; Anaerolineales; Anaerolineaceae.